Long non-coding RNA from Anas platyrhynchos (mallard), 324 nucleotides. RefSeq lists it as uncharacterized. The record is from RefSeq and is a predicted model, not a curated record. NCBI's taxonomy places the organism in Eukaryota, Metazoa, Chordata, Aves, Anseriformes, Anatidae.
UUUAUAAGGUCUGAAAACCGUUGUCAUGAACAAGCAUGCGCAGACACCCAACCAUCCACUGUUUUUGCCUCCAAAUAUUUUCUGUUUUAACUCUUAGUAGAGUGUGCCUGUCUUGCUCAGGUGUGAUGGCUGAGAAGCAGAGGCUCUCCCCCUCGGGCUGCUCCGGGUGCACACUGCGUAUGCUGCAUUAUGACACACUGCAGAUGUGAUCACGUGGGCUGCGUGAAGCUACUCUGCUGCCUUGGCUGCGCUGGGAGACUCAGAUGACAGUCUGAGGGGCAGGACGAAAGGGAUGGCAGGUGGGAAGUGAAGGAAAAGGAAAGG